AUGGCGUUCAAGUACCAGCUCAUCCUCUGGGCCGCCCUGGUCAUCGUACUCGCCGCGGCCUCAGCCAGCGUCCAGCAGGCAUGCAUUCCAGGGCAGCAGAUCACAUACGACUCGCUUCAUGCCUGCAGCGACUACGUGGUCAGACAAACAUGUGGCUUUGAACCCUACUACGUCUCCGUCGAGACGAUGAAGAAGCGGUGUUGCGAGCAACUGUCGGGCGUCUCGUCGUACUGCCGGUGCGAGGUGGUGCGCAUCCUCAUGGAGGGGAUAGUAAAUAAGCGGGGUGAGGUCGUGGGCAGCCUCCUCCAGGAUUGGCCUAGAUGCAAGAGCUUGACGAGGGAGUACAUUGCGGGCAUCGUCGGACGGGGGGAGUGCAACUUAGAGACCAUCUUGGGCCGCCCGGAAUGCCCUACUGCCUAUCUUGGAGCGGUCGUGUAA
This 438-nucleotide ribosomal RNA is filed under the name Triticum aestivum (bread wheat). RNAcentral's name for it is "partial small subunit ribosomal RNA". The record is from RNAcentral. Lineage: Eukaryota; Viridiplantae; Streptophyta; Magnoliopsida; Poales; Poaceae.